This is a long non-coding RNA of Juglans microcarpa x Juglans regia, 1459 nucleotides long. RefSeq lists it as uncharacterized. NCBI's taxonomy places the organism in Eukaryota, Viridiplantae, Streptophyta, Magnoliopsida, Fagales, Juglandaceae. The record is from RefSeq and is a predicted model, not a curated record. The transcript is spliced from 4 exons.
ACCCAAGCUGCCAGACGAAUACACGUGAGACAAGCUACCGGGCUGUCUGAAAUUACUGCUCGUCUUGUCCCUUGACGUUGGAAAAAACCAAAUGCAAAAGCCCAUCGCUCGUCCCGUCCCCGAGCAUUUGGUUCCAAACUAAGCGGCCGAGCUGUUGAAACCCCAGGUUCUGUGAUUCCGUCCAAGCAGCCAGACCUCGGACGAAGCCACCGGCGAUACUUCCUUCCAAGCGUUAUUGGCGUCCCGAGCAAAACUUGAAUUCCCUCUUUCUUUCUUUACAAAGACCUCGCUCUCUCUCCUCUGCUUUCUUGCUCCGUGUUCAGAGUUUUGGGAUGGGAUACUUGCACGUAAACACUUUUGGUAUCCGAUUCUGUUUUUUGUUCAGUUGGAUUCGCUUUUGAAAUAGAACCCAGAUUCCAGUAUCGGUAUUUUUUUAUUCUUUGGCCAGAUUUUGGAUUCGGUGUUUGUGAUUUUUGUAUUUGUGAUAUCUCUUCGUUUGAUUCGGAUAGGAGUUUGUUCUGAUAUCUAUAUUAGCUUUUUUGACCCAUCUCGAAUUCUCUUCAAUCACUGAGAGACUUUGGAGCCAAAUAAGGAAGCGAAAGCAGGGAGCUAUACAAGGUUCACGUUAAGGAGGCAAAGCGAGCGGGACAUCAGGCUGUCGGUAUCUUUUCUCAAUACAAAUUUAAAAAGACUAGAUUGUUAAGGAAACAAAGAUGGCCAAGGUUCAUUUCACGAAUUACUCUAUCGAGUUUAUCAUGCCGCCUUCUUCUAGUAAUGCCAGAGAUAUUUCCAUCAAAACCAUCCCUUCUGCAACAAAGCCUGAGAUCAAGAGGAUUUUAGAACUAGUACACGGAUGUGAAGUUGAAAAGGUACGGACGCUAAAUAUGAAAGGAAAGAAGAAGAUGCUAGGGGGGCGCUUGGUUGCUAGACCAGAUUACAAGAAGGCCUAUGUAACUCUAAAGAAUCCUUUAUCUUUCUCACAUUCCCAUCCAGUCCAUUUAGUUGAAGAUGAGAGGAAGAGCAUAAAUGUGAAGUCAAAACUAAGCAUCAUUAAGGAGUGAGAGAUCUCCCUCACUUUGACAGCAGGAGAGGUGCGCUGUGGCGCCUGAGAAGCAAUCAAGUUAGAGAGGCAGCAGUGGCAUGCACGCUGAUCUACACAGUUGGGUUUCUGAGUUUUCAUACAGCUCAAAGCAUUUUCAGAGGUAGUUAGGCUCUUAAAGGAAGAUUUUUCUUCGGUAAUCUACCCUUUUUACAUUUUGGAAAAGGAUAGAUAUCCAUUAUUUCUGCUUGAUUACGCAUGUGGAAGACAAUAACGUCAUUGCUCUAGGCAAUUAUGAUUUUCGGGAAAGAGAUUUGUUUAUGUUGUCUUGUUGUCUACUUGAGACAUCUCUUUCUAUUAGAGUUAUUCAUGCUUGAUUACUGUUAUCAAAGAGACUGCGAUUAUUGCUUUGGCCGACAA